AUUGAACGCUGGCGGCAGGCCUAACACAUGCAAGUCGAACGAGUGGCGGACGGGUGAGUAAUGUCUGGGAAACUGCCUGAUGGAGGGGGAUAACUACUGGAAACGGUAGCUAAUACCGCAUACCAUCGGAUGUGCCCAGAUGGGAUUAGCUAGUAGGGGGGGUAAAGGCUCACCUAGGCGACGAUCCCUAGCUGGUCUGAGAGGAUGACAAGGCACACUGGAACUGAGACACGGCCCAGACUCCUACGGGAGGCAGCAGUGGGGAAUAUUGCACAAUGGGCGCAAGCCGGAUGCAGCCAUGCCGCGUGUAUGAAGAAGGCCUUCGGGUGGUAAAGUACUUUCAGCGGGGAGGCGUUACCCGCAGAAGAAGCACCGGCUAACGCCGUGCUAGCAGCCGCGGUAAUUC
This 406-nucleotide ribosomal RNA is filed under the name uncultured bacterium. RNAcentral describes it as "partial 16S ribosomal RNA". It matches the Rfam family "Bacterial small subunit ribosomal RNA", at positions 29 to 526 of the family's 1533-position model. The record is from RNAcentral.